CGGCGCGGCCCCGCCGGGCGCGCUCCCUCGGCGGCGGCGCCCCGAGCUCGGGGACACGCGGACCCCUGGUUAAGUUCUGGGCCACAGUGCGCUUGCGCAGGGGGCACCAGUGGCAGCAGUAGGGGAGGAGCCUGCGGAGUUUAGACUACGGUGAUAAGGAAAAUACGGAAAGGAUGAGAAAGGGAGUCGGCUCUGGCUCCGCUUGUUAAGCUUAGAGAUUAAGAGCUGGUGCUCUGCAGGUUCCAAUCUGUUGUGACUGUAUGACUUUGGGUGGCCUUGAGCAAGUUAGCUGCUCAAGCUUCAGUGUCUACCUCUAUAAAACGGAGCUGCUAAUAGUGAUGGACCUCACAGAGCUUUGUGAAGGUUGAAUGAGACAGUGUGUGUAAAGGGCUCAGCACAGUGCCUGCACACAGAAAAUGCCCAGGAAGUGCCAGGUUGGCAGUUGGGAAGGAAAGCUGGAUGUGGAUGAGAUCAAGGACAAGCCAGAACCUGUGAAGACAGACUUGGGCCCGCAAAGAACACUGGAACUCACGAGGACAAACUGGAACCUGUCUCUUGCCCCAGUUGACAUCUUGACUGUGACUUUAUGAGAGACCCCAAGGCAGAACUGUUUAGCUAAGCUGCUUUCUGACCCACAGCAACUGUGAGAUAAUAAAU
RNAcentral lists this long non-coding RNA (657 nucleotides) under Equus caballus (horse). RNAcentral describes it as "lncRNA (ENSECAG00000059905.1)". The record is from RNAcentral. Lineage: Eukaryota; Metazoa; Chordata; Mammalia; Perissodactyla; Equidae.